Long non-coding RNA from Hemicordylus capensis (graceful crag lizard), 820 nucleotides. RefSeq lists it as uncharacterized. Lineage: Eukaryota; Metazoa; Chordata; Lepidosauria; Squamata; Cordylidae. The transcript is spliced from 2 exons. The record is from RefSeq and is a predicted model, not a curated record.
CACCACGCCUUGCUGCUCUUAUAAUUAAACGGCCAGCAGCACUACCAGGGAGCACUGCUUGAAAUCUGCAAUCCUUGCAGCAAUCGCGGUGGUAGGUCUGUGCUGGAUGCACUGGACGGGUAGGAAAUCCCCCCUCCUCGAUGACGCUCCACUGAUAAUAGACAGAGGGCUUUUAUGGAAAUUACUAGUGUUGUAAUCUGGAAGAAGGCUGUCAACUGCAGAAAUGACAAGGAAGAGCCAUAGAAAUCUAAUUUCCUGCUAAAUAAUCCUCUCCAAGCAAAGUACAAUUAAUUUGACAUCUUUAUGACAAUGGAUCAGACUGUGAUUAUUUUUUGGAUCCUCUGAAAUGAUUCGACUUGGCAGAUUAUCACUACUAAAGUCUUUGGAAUGAUAUAAAGUUUCUGUCCAAUGGAGCAGAUUUGAGGAUCUGCAUAUGAUCUGGGGUGUGUGUCUGUGUGUUUAUUUUCACUGGAGACAAACUGAAAAGAAUAAUUCUAAAACAAACGUUAUGGAUUUAAUGUUUAAUGUUUGUUAAGAACUGCCAGAGACCAACUUUAAAAUGUGUGUGUGGGAGGGCAGGAACACUCUGAAAUAUGUUCGCUAUUUAUUCAUUUUUUAAAUUUCUGAAUCCUUUGGCAUUGUUACACUGUAGAUGUUACAAAUUAGUAGGGUGGGUCUUCCAAAUGUACCUCAACUUUUGCUUUCUCUGAAAUUUGUUGUCAAAUAUGGCCCAGUUCUUACUGAGGCAUAAAGCCCAUGUCAGGGGUAUGUCACUUCAGACUGCAGAAGGGGGAUCACAAAAUAAAGAUUUAUACAUGCA